Rosa chinensis is the source of this 1389-nucleotide RNA transcript. RefSeq lists it as uncharacterized. The record is from RefSeq and is a predicted model, not a curated record. The transcript is spliced from 4 exons. Lineage: Eukaryota; Viridiplantae; Streptophyta; Magnoliopsida; Rosales; Rosaceae.
AACUGGGCAGAGCCGAGUUUGGCCGGAAAUCGGCCUUGAUUUUUCUUUUCCUCAUAUCUUCCUCCUCCGGCCACCAAUCUUCACCAAACUUCUUCCAUUAGCUUCGUAUGGUCCUUACGCACCUGUCUGUGGCAGCCUUACACGGUGGCGCGGCCUGUAUGGGCGGCGGCAAGCUUAAACCGAUUUUAGCUCGAUUUUGAGUCAACGCCGAUAUCUCGAGUUAUAGACGAUCAAUCUUCGAGAUUCUUGGACAGAUGAACUCGAAUUGAAGUUCUGAAACAGUUUCAUGAAGAAAUCGAAGCGAUUGGUGGACGUUUUCACGUUGAUAGGAGCUGUUGCCGGUUUCUGGAAAAAAUCCGGCGAACCCGUGGCUUCUAGGUGAUUGACGGUCUUCCUUGGUGAGCGGUUUUGGUGUGUUUUGUGAAAUUGAAGACGCAGCGGGAUUAGAGCGGGUAGUCCUGCAGGUCAGGAGGAUCAUGGCUGAGAUCGUGCGGAUUAGAGUAAUUGUUUUAGUUUUUCAGCCUUGUAAAUUGUGAGGUGAGUGAUGCUCAAUUGGAGCUUUACAAAUUUACUUUGUAUAAGUGAGUUGUAUUAAUUAAUUUGAGAUUUGAAAUUUGAGUGGCGUGUAUUGUAGUUGUUAUUCAUGUUUCGGAUUUUGAAUUAGUUAUUCAAAAUUCGGGGCGUGACAACUUACCACCAAGAAAUUUGAUGGUAGGAGAAGCAUGCAUGAGCAUGUUCUUGAAAUGACUAAUUUGGCAGCAAAAUUGAAGGCCUUGGGAAUGAAUGUGGAUGAGUUCUUUCUUGUUCAAUUUAUUUUGAACUCCUUGCAUCCUCAGUAUGAAGCAUUUCAGAUUAACUAUAACACUAUUAAGGAUAAGUGGAAUGUUAAUGAAUUGUCCUGUAUGCUUGUUCAAGAGGAAGGAAGGCUUAAGCAACAAGAACAAAAUUCCAUUCAUCUUGUAGGUCAUGGAGCUGAAAGAAAAUUUGGAAGAAAACCUGGAAAGGGUGCUAAGAAAGGACCACCAAAGAACAAUGGACCUGCUGAUGCUGCUCAAGCUCCUAAUAAGGGACUGAAGGACAAAUGUCAUUUCUGUAGAAAGGAAGGACAUUAUCAAUAUGAUUGCCCAAAACGUAAGGCAUGGUUCGAAAAGAAAGGGAUUCCUUACAACCUAAAGCCUAAAUCCAAAUGAAAAUUUUAUCUAUAUGGGAAAUCAGGUGAAAGCACCAGUUGAAGCCAUUGGAACUUUUCGUUUGAUUUUAGAUACCGGCCAUUAUUUGGAUUUGUUUCAAACUCUUUAUGUUCCGACUUGUUCUAGGAAUUUAAUUUCUGUUUCCAAACUUGAUCUUGAUGGUUUUACUUUCAAUAUUGGUAAUAAAAGUUUGAGUUUG